This 74-nucleotide transfer RNA is filed under the name Alphaproteobacteria bacterium. RNAcentral's name for it is "tRNA-Glu". It matches the Rfam family "tRNA". Rfam says of the family: Transfer RNA (tRNA) molecules are approximately 80 nucleotides in length. Their secondary structure includes four short double-helical elements and three loops (D, anti-codon, and T loops). The record is from RNAcentral. Lineage: Bacteria; Pseudomonadati; Pseudomonadota; Alphaproteobacteria.
GCUGCAGUCGUCCAACCGGAGAGGAUCCUGGCCUUUCAAGUCGGUGAAUGCGGGUUCGAAUCCCGUCUGCAGCG